GCCCCCGUGGCCCACCCUUGGCCCCGGGCCCCAAAUCUUCUGGUUCACUGGAUCCUAGACCCUGGUCGCUUUCUUCCCCCACCGACUCCAGGUCCCCAGCACCCCAUCCCCCUGGUGCCCCAACCUAUCUCUGGAUUCCUGGAGACCCCUGCCCCUGAACCCCCUACCCCUCCCCAGCCCCUCCACAGACCCCUGGACCCUCAGCCCCCCAGUGCCCCACUCUGCCCAAACCUCCUCCCAUUCCUGGACAUCCCUGCCCCUGCCGCCAGGCAUCCCUGCCUAUGGAACCACAGUACCCCAGCACCAGGCCCCCCAGCACCCUUGCUUCUGCCACCCCAAACCUCCAGGCCCUCCAGGAACCCCCCUCCCGACCCCCUCCCGCUGCCUCCCCAGCUUCCCCUGCCCAGUCAUCGGGGGCCCUCCCCGUGCCCAAACCUCCCCCUCCUCAUCCCCAGCGCCCCCUCCACGGACUCCCGGACCCUGGGCCCCCUCCUCACCCCCCACAUCUGGCGGUGCCCGAGCUUCCCCUCCCCCACCCCAACGCGCUCAGGUACACACACAUGUGGUCCCCCCCUCCCUCCCGGCUACCCUCGCCCCCCGCGGCCCCCUGCCGCCCCCAGUCCUAGGGCCCCCGCACCAGGCACCCCCCCCCCCGCCGCUCCUCCGCCUGGCCCUGGAGGGCGCACCUUCCCGGACCCUCGGUGCGGUGGGUCCUGCCCUCUGACGCCCCCAGGUCUGGGCCCCGCCGGAGCAGAGCCCGGCGGCGCGUCACAAAGGCGGCGGCCCUGGCUCCCAGCACCCCCACCCCCAGGGCGCGGGCGCCCGUCGGGGAGUCGUCGGAGCGCAGGCGGCGCGGGCGGGGCAGGCAGCGGCUCGCGGUCUCCGCAGCCCGAACGGGGCACAGCCGGCGGGGCGCGGCGAGCGGGUAACGGCCCUACGCCUCCUCCUGGAAGCCGUCCGGGGCACCCUACCCUUUCCUCCCGGGUUGGCAGCUGGGGCAGGUGCACGCGCCCCGGUCCGGAGUGGGUUGGAAUCCCACCUCCCCAUGGUUAG
Molecule: long non-coding RNA, 1053 nt
Filed under: Canis lupus familiaris (dog)
Lineage: Eukaryota; Metazoa; Chordata; Mammalia; Carnivora; Canidae
Description: lncRNA (ENSCAFG00845002077.1)
Source: RNAcentral